This 1001-nucleotide long non-coding RNA is filed under the name Junco hyemalis (dark-eyed junco). RNAcentral's name for it is "lncRNA (ENSJHYG00000012864.1)". The record is from RNAcentral. Lineage: Eukaryota; Metazoa; Chordata; Aves; Passeriformes; Passerellidae.
GAUUUCGCUGAUUUUGUGGCAGAUUUUGAUGCCAAUUUUGCUGAUUUUGGGGUUUUGAAUUUUGGGCUGAUUCCAAUGCUGACUUCUGCGCUGAUUUUUUUGCUGAUUUUGGGUUUUUUGGGGUGGAUUUUUGGGCUGAUUUUCGUGCUGAUUUUGGGGAUUUUGUUACUAAUUUCUGUGCUAAUUUUGCUGCUGUUUUUUGCUGAUUUUGCUGCUGAUUUUGCUGCUGAUUUUUGUGCUGAUUUCUGUGCUGAUUUUGCUGCUGAUUUUGUGGCCGAUUUGGGGGAUUUUGUUGCUGAUUUUGGUGCUGAUUUCAAGGUUUUUGGGGGUGGAAUUUUGGGCCGAUUUUGGUGCUGAUUUUGGGGAUUUUGUUACUAAUUUCUGUGCUGAUUUUGGUGCUGAUUUCACUGAUUUUGUGCCGGUUUUGUCCCCGAUCUCCCCCUCCCCAGAUCCCGCACAUCCGCGUGGGCCCCGAGGACGCCCCCCGGCCCCCCCUGCUCCGCUUGGCCGCCCUCAGCCUCUACCCCAGCAACGAGGACGUGAGCCAGGCCCUGGGGGGGCUCCUGCGCAGCCUCCGCGCCCCCCCGGCCUCCCUCAUCUGCGCCAGGGCCGAGUGCCUGCUGCGGUUAGAAGAGCUGGUGCGGCAGUUCCUGAUCUCGCGCGAGGCGCUCUCCGUGCGCGUCCUGGACGCCGAGCAGGACCCGACGCCGCUGCUGAAGGAAAUCCGCGACGACAAAGUGCCGACCAUCAUCAUCGACGGCAGCGCCGCCACCGCCGGGCUCGUGCUCGCCAAGGUCGGCGGAUUUUGGGAAAAUUUGGGCGGAUUUUGGGGUUUUGGGACUUUUUUUGGGAGUUUUGUGACGAUUUUUGGGAGUUUCGGGGCGGUUUUGUGCGGGUUUUUGUGACUUUUGUGUGAAUUUUUAGGAGUUUUUUUGCUCGAUUUCUCGCAAGGUUUGCGGCGAUUUUGUGCCGAUUUUUGGGGAAUUUUUUUGUUGAUUUUU